Molecule: long non-coding RNA, 626 nt
Organism: Cyprinus carpio carpio
Lineage: Eukaryota; Metazoa; Chordata; Actinopteri; Cypriniformes; Cyprinidae
Source: Ensembl
UGGUAAAGUGCCAACCCUGUGCUACUAUCACAGUGAAAUAUCUUGAUUUCGGUUACACAACUAUGAUGCGAUAUCACUCUGUUUUUUAAACUCAGCAAAUCAGAAGAGAAGACCAAAUAGAAGCACUCACAGCACUGAACAAUACAACGGAAUGGACCAGAAACAGAGGAACGCAAGUUUUCCUCCCCCCCACACACACACCCAUCUCACAGGACCACAGGGAUCUAGAUGACUCAAAGAGCUAAAGAGAGCCAAAGGCCAACGGAACGGAACGAUUCAUGAGGCGCUGACUCACAAACCACUGCUUCCUCUCCACCACAUGCCUCUCAUAACUGCGCAGAUGACUGGUCAAGUUCCCACAGCACUGCAUGGGAGGGCAGUGAGGGGCCAGAGCUCAGAGGAGACACAUACUGACCCCUGACAGACAUCAGAGAGAGUGUGUGGGAGAGAGAGAUUGCAUUAAAGUAAACCGACAGAAACCAACCCAUGACAAGAAUGCAGAAUCAGUUCAGUGAUCUCCAACUAGAGCAGAUCUUCAGUUCAGCUGGAUCUCAAAUCCAUAACUACUGAACUUCCUGUGCUGGGCAGCAGAGAGUCUGAAAACAAACAAACUGGGGGAGGAGGAG